CUAGCGACUUCAGAGUUUGAUCCUGGCUCAGGAUGAACGCUGGCGGCGUGCUUAACACAUGCAAGUCGAACGAAGCACUUGUUCACGAUCCCUUCGGGGUGACGAGCUUGUGACUGAGUGGCGGACGGGUGAGUAACGCGUGGGUAACCUGCCUCAUACAGGGGGAUAACAGUUGGAAACGACUGCUAAUACCGCAUAAGCCCACGACCUCGCAUGAGGUUGUGAGAAAAACUCCGGUGGUACGAGAUGGACCCGCGUUGGAUUAGCUUGUUGGUGGGGUAACGGCCCACCAAGGCGACGAUCCAUAGCCGACCUGAGAGGGUGACCGGCCACAUUGGGACUGAGACACGGCCCAA
RNAcentral lists this ribosomal RNA (356 nucleotides) under uncultured bacterium. RNAcentral describes it as "bacterial SSU rRNA". It matches the Rfam family "Bacterial small subunit ribosomal RNA", at positions 1 to 334 of the family's 1533-position model. The record is from RNAcentral.